Ornithodoros turicata is the source of this 362-nucleotide long non-coding RNA. RefSeq lists it as uncharacterized. NCBI's taxonomy places the organism in Eukaryota, Metazoa, Arthropoda, Arachnida, Ixodida, Argasidae. The transcript has 3 exons. The record is from RefSeq and is a predicted model, not a curated record.
GUCUUCGCGGCUGCAUGCUGCAUUCCACUGGUUGUUAUACGAAAAUCUUUCGAAGUUCUAAUCUCCCGCGCGUUUUGUCUUGCAAUUUUUGAGCAUAGCGAGAACGUACGCCGUACUGUCCAGUGAUAAAAGCUGUUAAGCGCAGCGCCAGAGUACUGUGGUGGACAACGUUUCUUUGUUCUCUGGCUUUCAAGUUUAAGGGGUGCUUGGACUAUCUUGCAUCGGUGGAUAUGAAAAUAGUGGUAACCUACCCUACGAAACAGCUAUUUGCACAUAAGCUUAACAGUUCCCUGUGAGAUGCUGUGAAAGUCAGCAGGGAAGUGCGAUGUAGAAGAAAUGACUGCCAGAAGCUUGCUAAGGAG